CAAUAGCGUAUAUUUAAGUUGUUGCAGUUAAAAAGCUCGUAGUUGGAUUUCUGCCGAGGACGACCGGUCCGCCCUCUGGGUGAGUAUCUGGCUCGGCCUGGGCAUCUUCUUGGAGAACGUAGCUGCACUUGACUGUGUGGUGCGGUAUCCAGGACUUUUACUUUGAGGAAAUUAGAGUGUUUCAAGCAGGCUUACGCCUUGAAUACAUUAGCAUGGAAUAAUAAGAUAGGACCUCGGUUCUAUUUUGUUGGUUUCUAGAGCUGAGGUAAUGAUUAAUAGGGAUAGUUGGGGGCAUUCGUAUUUAACUGUCGGAGGUGAAAUUCUUGGAUUUGUUAAAGACGGACUACUGCGAAAGCAUUUGCCAAGGAUGUUUUCAUUGA
This 380-nucleotide ribosomal RNA is filed under the name uncultured eukaryote. Its description in RNAcentral is "partial 18S ribosomal RNA". It matches the Rfam family "Eukaryotic small subunit ribosomal RNA", at positions 592 to 976 of the family's 1831-position model. The record is from RNAcentral.